Non-coding RNA from Malus domestica (apple), 1798 nucleotides. Lineage: Eukaryota; Viridiplantae; Streptophyta; Magnoliopsida; Rosales; Rosaceae. The record is from RefSeq and is a predicted model, not a curated record.
AUCAAAGGAACCACAGUUGCCACAGGUGAAUUUGGACUGGAUUUGGAAUCUAUUAUUUAUGUGAAGUGUAUGGAGUAGCAAUUUAAACCCAUAUGGUUAAGUGGAGAGAGGUUUGUGGUGAUGGAAGUGAUGAAGAUUGCUCUGUACCAGCAAAGGAUGUGAUGUGACCUAUGACAUCCUUUUGACAGUUGGCUUUGUGCCAGGAUUGAAAGUUAAUGCCAUCCUGCUGUUACGAACAAUAAAGAUAUGGAACUAUUCACGUGAUGAAGGUACUACAAAUGUGUCCAUCUUUGCAUUAAAUCACCGGAUUCGUUUAGUUUAAUGGUCAAAUUAUUAAUUCAGACAUUUGCUAACUGUUUGAUCUGUUUUUGGAUUGUUGUGUGGUAUGGAAUUGUGUAAAUGUUGGAUGUUGAGAUGCCAUUUAUUAGAAACGCAUGCUUCAACUGAUAAAUGUUUUGAGGUUGCUGCUGAAACUUUACUUGUACAUUUUUUUUUCUCCUGCCAUAUCUUUUUUCGUUUCUUUUAAGCAUAGUCAUGAUUGGUUGUCUACUUUGCUUUGACAUCUGAUUUUCAUGUUGAUCAGUUCUUUAAAACAUCAUAUUUCAAGACCCGGAUCCACCCACUCCUAGGUGCUCAAGAGACGAUUCAUAAGUUGUCAGAUUUUUGUAACCUGUCUGCAGUUUGAAUAAUGGAUUUUCUUGACACAUAAAUAGUUUCUAAUGAUAUCAGGAACCUCAAGAACUCAUUCAUAUUUUUUCAUAGAAAUUCCGUCAUUGUGCACUGCUAUUUAAUCGCUCUUUUUGGUUUCUUGCCAGAAAGUAGGUCAGUGUAUAUUUAAUUUAGUUCCCCUGAUUUUCUUUUUAAUUUAUUUAUUUUUUGUUUUGUUGGGUGAGGCAGUUUGAUCGAAUUGGUUUGAAUUGAAGAAUUCUUGAAGUGACAAGAAGGAACUGACUCAGCAAGUUUGCACCAAGCCGGCGAAGGAAUCAGGGGAAUGGAGCUCAGAUUGUCAGAGAUGACCGAAAUUGACCUCAGUUCAAACUGAAACGAUAUGUUUAUUUUGGUUAUGAUACAACUGAAGUGGAGAAGGAUAGCUCAGUGGCUUCCUAAGACACAGUUGAGGGAGGUAACAUUGCAGGAAGAGAAUGCUGAAUAUGAAGGGCAAUAUCGUUUGAAAAUAAAAUACAAGAGAAAAUUCUAGAAGAAGAUUUGCUGAAGAGGAAGCUAAUGGAGAUGGAAGAGAAUGAAAGGAAUUUGAGAUAUGAACUCGAAAAUGCACAAACGGCAUUGGAUGCCAGUCGAUCUGGUCAAUCAGAUGAAUCCAUUGGUGACCCAAAGACGACAGUUGAAACCGAAAAUGACGUAGAAGCUUAAAAGAAGGGUAUACUUGAAACAUUAGAGGAGAGUAAAAAAGAAUUGGUGCUCCAAUGGCUUCAUCGGAGAAGGUUGUGCCUGCUGCUGGAUGCUUUGGGUGGUAUCCACUUUCUAUGUUUUUUAUUAACUGCUAAAAUAGGUGCUUGCCUUACAGGACAUAUAUUUUGCUAGCUUUAACUACAAAGGCAAAUUAUGUGUGAACUGCAUGUUCCUUUUGUUUCUUCUGUUUCUUAUGGUAACAGAACAUUUUUGGCGACCACGUGUUUGUGAUCAAGGACGUUAAGUUUCGUUCUACUAAUUCUACAAUGUCUUUACAUGUCAGCUCAGUUGAAUGUAUAUAAAAGCCAAGCUGUUUAUCUUAUCGACCUCAUUUAUUCAUGUAUUCCUUUGUUUUUUCAAAAUUGUGUUGAAUUUAUUCAACUUAAAA